CGCCUCCUGGGCUCCCAACGGCUGCUUUCGACGUUGUGCUCCACCCUUUCCGGGCGGGGCGGAAAAAAUACUUCCCGUCUCUCCUUUCCGCCUAGUGGCUCUGUCAAAGGUCGAGUCAGUGACGUCAAAGAGCCUGGACCAAUCAGAGCACACCGGACUGCGUUUUUUUUCCGAACGCCGGCAGCAGGGUCAGAAGGGAGGUGGUCGCCCUCCGUCGUGGCCUGGCGUGGAUUCCGAGCGUUGGUGUCUGGCGGUUUCCGACCGUUGGUGUCUGGCACGCGCCACCCCGAUGUACCAGACAAGAAGACAAGAAAAUGAUUUGAGGACAGCUUCAAUCGCGGUGUGAAGAAGAAAGCAGCAAAACGACCACUGAAAACAACGCCGGUGGCAAAACAUCCAAAGAAAGGGUCCCAAGCGGUACAUCGUCAUAGCUGGAAACAGUCAGAGCCACCAGCCAAUGAUCUUUUCAAUGCUGCGAAAGCUGCCGAAAGUGACAUGCAGAGGCGGAUUUCCCUGACUGAAGACCAUGUUGCAGGCCCACAGCUGCCUACAGGCCCUCUGGGCAACCGUCCCAAAAUAUGGCAAAGAAACCUAUUCUGAGGUUAAAUAUUUUGGUUUCUUUCAGUGGGAGGCAAGGGUCUUCCGGACUAGGGAGGUAGAUGUGCAGCAGCCUCAGGUGCUCUAGGUGCUUUGCAGCUACGCUGGCCAGGCCACCUGAGGUAGGUCCCCUUUGCACCAGUCUCACACCCUGCUGGGGGACAGUAGUGGAGACAGCAGUAAAAGCAGGUCUAAGGCAGGUGUGGAGAUUAGUACAGGUGGCCUGGGCAAAGGGCAAAGGGUGAAGAGAAUGUUGGGAGCCAUGGGUGACUGGCUGCGGGCAUAGGCACCAUGAAGGCUACUAUGGGCUGCAGGGUGUGGAUGAGGGGACAGAGUUUGCCCCAGAGACCAAGUUGGUUUGUGUCAAACACCACAGGAUUUUUAUU
RNAcentral lists this long non-coding RNA (983 nucleotides) under Pan troglodytes (chimpanzee). RNAcentral's name for it is "long non-coding RNA NONPTRT015791". Lineage: Eukaryota; Metazoa; Chordata; Mammalia; Primates; Hominidae. The record is from RNAcentral.